CCAGGGUUGUUUGUCACUUGUGUCUUCUUCAGGAUCUUGGAGAGAGCCUGGUUUCAGUAUCCCCUGUCUGUGGCCCUGCCUUCGGGGAAGCUGUGGUCCGUCUUCAGGAGGCUUUGGGAGCUGCUUUUGCAGGGCUGAGCACUGCUCCGGGGUGGUGGGGGGGUCCCUCCUGGGACCGUGCUUCUUGUGCUGGAGUUGGGGCCUGCGUGCCCUGUGGGGGUUGUGCUGCCUCAUGGGGGUGUUGAUCCUGGACCCUCUGCUGGGAGUACCUGUGGGGCCCUCGUAGGGCAGGAUGAAUCUACAGAUAAGCUGUGGGGGGCUGAGCACAGCAGCCAGGCACGGGUUCCCAGACCCCGUGGGUGCUCUCGUGAUGUCGUCCUCUGCUCUGCCUUGCCCAGGGGUGAUUGGGCUUCCGAGGGGCACGCCAGGCCUGGAGACCACAGGGCCUGCUGACAGGGGACCUCUGGCAUCCCCCUUGUGUGUCCCCAACGUGCCUGCCAUACCAGAUGUCUAUGUGCCGCUCACCUGGCUGCACCCGGGGAGGCUCAUUGCGUGUGGGUGUGUGGGUGUGCUGGGUGUGCCCGUCCCCUUGUUGCCCUCAGAGCAUCGUGGGUCAGCCUCCCUCCAGUCCAGCCCAGCAGACCCUCCAUGGCCGCGUGUGCCCCACCUGUGUCUUCCGCAGACCAGGGACACCUGCUGUGCUGGGUGGCUUCGUACCCGGGUUGAGAGGCCCCCUCGGUGGCCUUGUGUGCUCUCUCAGUGGCCAUGCGUGGUCAGACCUGUGAGUGGGGGCUACAUGAGGAGGCCGCUGUGCUUGCUGGAGCAUGAUGUGUGGCCCUUGGGGCCCAGGUGGACGCUGGCUGCUGGGCAUCUUGCGUGUCUUUAUUUGCACAUGAUGUGAUUGUGCAGUUCUGUCGACAACUGGGGUUUGAAGUCAGCAGGCCAGCAUAGAGCUUGUUGCCUUGAGCCACGUUCCCCGUUUCCGAUGCUGGGCCCUUUGUGGUUCUGGUUCUGGUUUGGUUGCCGGGAGACCUCUGUUGACAGGCUCUCUGUCCCCCUGCCUUUGCAGCCCUGGGGUGCCAUGUUGGGGGGCAGUGUGGUCAGCAGUGAUAGAUGAGCACCCCAAGCUGUGGUCACUGUUGUGGGCGCCCUGGAUGCUUGUGGCAUGUUCCCACGGCUCAGCAGGUGCCUUUCAGGGCAUCUUCGGAGGAUAAAAGAAAGAAGAUGAAGACAGUGUGGAAUGGGCGAAAGAGCAGACAACUGGUUCAACGAGACAGGACAGACCCACGUGAUGGAGUUAACCGCCCUGCGACAAAGGAGCAAAGGGAAAUCAGUGGAGUGGAGGCCGUCUCUUCAACACAGGGUGUUGGAACAACUGGACGUCCACGCGCAAAGAAGUGAACCCACAUGCAGACCUUACUCUUCUCACUCCUUCCUCCUGUCACCUGUCUCCCCAUCCCCCCCACCUCCCCUCUGGUACCAGCAGUGUGUUCUCUGUAGCUAAGAGUCUGUUUCUUGGUUUCUC
Long non-coding RNA from Canis lupus familiaris (dog), 1525 nucleotides. RefSeq lists it as uncharacterized. Lineage: Eukaryota; Metazoa; Chordata; Mammalia; Carnivora; Canidae. The record is from RefSeq and is a predicted model, not a curated record. The transcript has 2 exons.